RNAcentral lists this small RNA (110 nucleotides) under Metabacillus harenarius. RNAcentral's name for it is "Bacillus weihaiensis Guanidine-I sequence". It matches the Rfam family "Guanidine-I riboswitch aptamer". From Rfam's summary of the family: This family represents a conserved RNA structure found upstream of the ykkC and yxkD genes in Bacillus subtilis and related genes in other bacteria. The record is from Rfam by way of RNAcentral. Lineage: Bacteria; Bacillati; Bacillota; Bacilli; Caryophanales; Bacillaceae.
AAAAAAGCUGUCUAGGGUUCCGUUGGUUGUUUGUCCUACCAAGUCUGGUCCGAGAGAGAGCGUAUAGCAGCACUCCGCUAUAUACACGGAAGGAAAAAAGCCUGGGAGAU